RNAcentral lists this ribosomal RNA (468 nucleotides) under uncultured bacterium. RNAcentral describes it as "partial 16S ribosomal RNA". It matches the Rfam family "Bacterial small subunit ribosomal RNA", at positions 28 to 507 of the family's 1533-position model. The record is from RNAcentral.
GACGAACGCUGGCGGCGUGCUUAACACAUGCAAGUCGAACGGAAAGGCCCUGCUUUUGUGGGGUGCUCGAGUGGCGAACGGGUGAGUAACACGUGAGUAACCUGCCCUUGACUUUGGGAUAACUUCAGGAAACUGGGGCUAAUAUCGGAUAGGAGCUCCUGCUGCAUGGUGGGGGGUGGAAAGUUUCGGCGGUUGGGGAUGGACUCGCGGCUUAUCAGCUUGUUGGUGGGGUAGUGGCUUACCAAGGCUUUGACGGGUAGCCGGCCUGAGAGGGUGACCGGCCACAUUGGGACUGAGAUACGGCCCAGACUCCUACGGGAGGCAGCAGUGGGGAAUAUUGCACAAUGGGCGGAAGCCUGAUGCAGCAACGCCGCGUGCGGGAUGACGGCCUUCGGGUUGUAAACCGCUUUCGCCUGUGACGAAGCGUGAGUGACGGUAAUGGGUAAAGAAGCACCGGCUAACUACGUG